Molecule: ribosomal RNA, 459 nt
Filed under: uncultured bacterium
Lineage: Bacteria
Description: partial 16S ribosomal RNA
Rfam family: Bacterial small subunit ribosomal RNA
Source: RNAcentral
GAUGAACGCUGGCGGCGCGCCUAACACAUGCAAGUCGAACGGCACCCCUCCUCGGAGGGAAGCGAGUGGCGAACGGCUGAGUAACACGUGGAGAACCUGCCCCCUCCCCCGGGAUAGCCGCCCGAAAGGACGGGUAAUACGGGAUACCCCGGGGUGCCGCAUGGCACCCCGGCUAAAGCCCCGACGGGAGGGGAUGGCUCCGCGGCCCAUCAGGUAGACGGCGGGGUGACGGCCCACCGUGCCGACAACGGGUAGCCGGGUUGAGAGACCGACCGGCCAGAUUGGGACUGAGACACGGCCCAGACUCCUACGGGAGGCAGCAGUGGGGAAUCUUGCGCAAUGGGGGGAACCCUGACGCAGCGACGCCGCGUGCGGGACGGAGGCCUUCGGGUCGUAAACCGCUUUCAGCAGGGAAGAGUCAAGACUGUACCUGCAGAAGAAGCCCCGGCUAACUACGUG